Molecule: ribosomal RNA, 433 nt
Filed under: uncultured bacterium
Lineage: Bacteria
Description: partial 16S ribosomal RNA
Rfam family: Bacterial small subunit ribosomal RNA
Source: RNAcentral
AACGAACGCUGGCGGCAUGCCUAACACAUGCAAGUCGAACGAGACCUUCGGGUCUAGUGGCGCACGGGUGCGUAACGCGUGGGAACCUGCCUUUAGGUUCGGAAUAACUCAGAGAAAUUUGAGCUAAUACCGGAUGAUGUCUUCGGACCAAAGAUUUAUCGCCUUUAGAUGGGCCCGCGUUGGAUUAGCUAGUUGGUGGGGUAAAGGCCUACCAAGGCGACGAUCCAUAGCUGGUCUGAGAGGAUGAUCAGCCACACUGGGACUGAGACACGGCCCAGACUCCUACGGGAGGCAGCAGUGGGGAAUAUUGGACAAUGGGCGAAAGCCUGAUCAAGCAAUGCCGCGUGAGUGAUGAAGGCCUUAGGGUUGUAAAGCUCUUUUACCCGAGAUGAUAAUGACAGUAUCGGGAGAAUAAGCUCCGGCUAACUCCGUG